GGGUAAGUCCUAUACAACUUCAGUCUACUUAACCAUGUCAGGUCCGGAAGGAAGCAGCAUCCAGUAGUACAGGAGUGUGAUAUAGUGCCGCUUACCCCUU
This 100-nucleotide signal recognition particle RNA is filed under the name Chloroherpeton thalassium ATCC 35110. RNAcentral describes it as "Bacterial small signal recognition particle RNA". It matches the Rfam family "Bacterial small signal recognition particle RNA". From Rfam's summary of the family: The signal recognition particle (SRP) is a universally conserved ribonucleoprotein involved in the co-translational targeting of proteins to membranes. Archaeal SRP consists of a 7S RNA and homologues of the eukaryotic SRP19 and SRP54 proteins. Lineage: Bacteria; Pseudomonadati; Chlorobiota; Chlorobiia; Chlorobiales; Chloroherpetonaceae. The record is from Rfam by way of RNAcentral.